UGGGGGAUAUUGCACAAUGGGCGGAAGCCUGAUGCAGCAACGCCGCGUGAAGGAAGACGGUUUUCGGAUUGUAAACUUCUGUUCUUAGUGAAGAAAAAAAUGACGGUAGCUAAGGAGCAAGCCACGGCUAACUACGUGCCAGCAGCCGCGGUAAUACGGAGGGUCCGAGCGUUAUCCGGAUUUAUUGGGUUUAAAGGGAGCGUAGGCGGAUUGAUAAGUCAGUUGUGAAAGUUUGCGGCUCAACCGUAAAAUUGCAGUUGAUACUGUCAGUCUUGAGUACAGUAGAGGUAAGCGGAAUUCGUGGUGUAGCGGUGAAAUGCGUAGAUAUCGAGAGGAACACUCGUGGCGAAGGCGGGUUCCUGGACAUUAACUGACGCUGAGGUACGAAGGCCAGGGUAGCGAAAG
Molecule: ribosomal RNA, 405 nt
Filed under: uncultured bacterium
Lineage: Bacteria
Description: bacterial SSU rRNA
Rfam family: Bacterial small subunit ribosomal RNA
Source: RNAcentral